GCCUAGGUCGSAUUAGCUAGUUGGUGUUGUAACGGCUCACCAAGGAGAUGAUCCGUUGGUGGCCCGARASGACGAACAGUCACACUGGAACUGACACAUUUCUCAGACUCCUACGGGAGGCAGCAGUGGGGAAUAUUGSACAAUGGGCGAAAGCCUGAUCCAGCCAUGCCGCGUGUGUGAAGAAGGUCUUCGGAUUGUAAAGCACUUUAAGUUGGGAGGAAGGGUUGUAGAUUAAUAMUCUGCAAUUUUGACGUUACCGACAGAAUAAGCACCGGCUAACUCUGUGCCAGCAKCCGCGRUAAWACAGAGGGUGCAAGCGUUAAUCGKAAUUACUGGGCGYAAAGCGC
Molecule: ribosomal RNA, 347 nt
Filed under: Pseudomonas sp.
Lineage: Bacteria; Pseudomonadati; Pseudomonadota; Gammaproteobacteria; Pseudomonadales; Pseudomonadaceae
Description: partial 16S ribosomal RNA
Rfam family: Bacterial small subunit ribosomal RNA
Source: RNAcentral